UUGUGAUUCUCAGGAGACAGAACUCUGGGACAUCUCCACCAUGGCCUGGAUCCCUCUCCUUCUCACCCUUCUCUCUGUCGGCACAGGUUCCAUGGCCUCCUAUGUACUGACACAGCCACCCUCAGUGUCAGUGACUCCAGGUCAGACGGCUAUAAUCACCUGCUCUGGAGACAAACUCUCUGAAAAAUAUAUUCAUUGGUACCAGCAGAAGUCUGCUCAGUCCCCUGUGCUGGUGAUUUAUGAGGACAGUGAGAGGCCUUCAGGGAUCCCUGACCGAUUCUCUGGCUCCAGCUCAGGGAACACAGCCACCCUGACUAUCAGCAGGGUCCAGGCUGAAGAUGAGGCUGAUUAUUACUGUCAAAGUUGGGACAGCAAUGCUGAAGCACACAAUGAUUCAGGCAGAUGGAGAAGUGAGACACAAACACUUUCCUUGUCUGUUUCACGUUCUUAUAGUCUUCAGGAGGACUGGCAGUAAAGCCAUAAGAAAGUCUGGCCCAGCUUAUACCGAUCUGAGGCCCCUAGACUGCCCUUUCCUUCCAGUUCUCUAGGUAGGCUCUGCAGAGGGGGUAUCAUGAGUGGAUUUAUGGGUGACAUAUCAGGCUGUCCUGGUGAGUUUUUGGCUUGGGUGUGUGUCAAGGAUAGAGGACCUAAGUGGGAGGACAGAUACAGGUCAAUGAACUCUGUUCUUGAUCCCUGAAUUUACAUUUUGUGUAGACUGGGCCACUUUUAGGUCCAUAUGACCUGGAUUAAUCAGAAGUAUCCAGCCCUUGAAAAGCUCCUGAAGCCCCAAGCUCAUAGGAAGCCUAUGGAUCUGAACUGAGCAAACCAGUAUAGUGGGCCCUGUGGUAUCUCCUCAGGUACUCCUCUGUCAGGCUGGCCCACCCAUUCCCACACAGGGUGAUUCUGGUCUGAUUGCUGCCUGAAAAAUCAAGUUGCCUGGCUCUGCCUCUGUAGGAAUCCAGUUUCAUGAAACUACUGACAUUUUGGUUUCAGCUGUCAUUUUUACCACUAGGUGACCAUGGUAUGCAUUCUAAACCCUAUAGAAUAAACAGCCAUUAAUACAGUGUG
Molecule: non-coding RNA, 1068 nt
Organism: Ictidomys tridecemlineatus (thirteen-lined ground squirrel)
Lineage: Eukaryota; Metazoa; Chordata; Mammalia; Rodentia; Sciuridae
Source: the annotation of a RefSeq genome assembly